Molecule: ribosomal RNA, 443 nt
Filed under: uncultured bacterium
Lineage: Bacteria
Description: partial 16S ribosomal RNA
Rfam family: Bacterial small subunit ribosomal RNA
Source: RNAcentral
CCUACGGGUGGCUGCAGUGGGGAAUAUUGGGCAAUGGGCGCAAGCCUGACCCAGCAACGCCGCGUGAAGGAAGAAGGCUUUCGGGUUGUAAACUUCUUUUCGCAGGGACGAAGAAAGUGACGGUACCUGAGGAAUACGCUACGGAUAACUACGUGCCAGCAGCCGCGGUAAUACGGAGGGGGCAAGCGUUAUCCGGAUUUAUUGGGUGUAAAGGGCGGGUAGGCGGGGGCGCAAGGCAGAUGUGAAAACUCAGGGCUCAACCCUGGGCCUGCAUUUGAAACUGUGUUUCUUGAGUGCUGGAGAGGGAAGCGGAAUUCCGGGUGUAGCGGUGAAAUGCGUAGAUAUACGGAGGAACACCAGUGGCGAAGGCGGAUUGCUGGACAGUAACUGACGCUGAGGCGCGAAAGCGUGGGGAGCAAACAGGAUUAGAUACCCCUGUAGUC